RNAcentral lists this transfer-messenger RNA (377 nucleotides) under Gammaproteobacteria (g-proteobacteria). Its description in RNAcentral is "CAJXQU01 sp913058255 Standard tmRNA". It matches the Rfam family "transfer-messenger RNA". Rfam says of the family: Bacterial tmRNA, also known as 10Sa RNA or SsrA, is named for its dual tRNA and mRNA-like properties. Its role is to liberate the mRNA from a stalled ribosome. Lineage: Bacteria; Pseudomonadati; Pseudomonadota. The record is from RNAcentral. RNAcentral also lists the same sequence under 1 other name.
GGGGACGACCUGGCUUCGACGCGGGUUACAAAACCUGAGGGGCAUGCCGAGGAUGCACAUAGCCUCGUAAAUCCAAUAUGCAAAACUUUUAGUUGCCAACGACGACAACUACGCACUAGCCGCUUAAGAACCGGUUUAUUGCCGUCUGACUGGAGCCGUGCUUAUGCGUCCAGGUUCUUCGGAACACUCAGGCGUCGACUCUCAUAAGAUCGUGAUGAAAUGCGUCCGGCGUGGAUUCUCUAAACUUUUACCGGAACCGCUGUACACGCAUCCUGCCGUUCGGGUAGUGGCCAGUUAAAUUAAAAGAGUCGGCUAAGCAUGUAGAACCAAAGGCAGAGGAUUUGCGGACGCGGGUUCGAUUCCCGCCGUCUCCACCA